RNAcentral lists this non-coding RNA (24 nucleotides) under Drosophila melanogaster (fruit fly). The record is from RNAcentral. Lineage: Eukaryota; Metazoa; Arthropoda; Insecta; Diptera; Drosophilidae.
UAAUGAGACGAAUAGUAAGUACGU